This 434-nucleotide ribosomal RNA is filed under the name uncultured Lachnospiraceae bacterium. Its description in RNAcentral is "partial 16S ribosomal RNA". It matches the Rfam family "Bacterial small subunit ribosomal RNA", at positions 341 to 792 of the family's 1533-position model. Lineage: Bacteria; Bacillati; Bacillota; Clostridia; Lachnospirales; Lachnospiraceae. The record is from RNAcentral.
ACGGGAGGCAGCAGUGGGGAAUAUUGCACAAUGGGGGAAACCCUGAUGCAGCGACGCCGCGUGAGUGAAGAAGUAUUUCGGUAUGUAAAGCUCUAUCAGCAAGGAAGAAAAUGACGGUACUUGACUAAGAAGCCCCGGCUAACUACGUGCCAGCAGCCGCGGUAAUACGUAGGGGGCAAGCGUUAUCCGGAUUUACUGGGUGUAAAGGGAGCGUAGACGGCAUAGCAAGUCUGAAGUGAAAUGCAUGGGCUCAACCCAUGAACUGCUUUGGAAACUGUUAAGCUAGAGUGCGGGAGAGGUAAGUGGAAUUCCUAGUGUAGCGGUGAAAUGCGUAGAUAUUAGGAGGAACACCAGAGGCGAAGGCGGCUUACUGGACUGUAACUGACGUUGAGGCUCGAAAGCGUGGGGAGCAAACAGGAUUAGAUACCCUGGUA